CAAUAGCGUAUAUUAAAGUUGUUGCAGUUAAAAAGCUCGUAGUUGGAUUUCUGUGUUGGUUUGACGGCUCGUGAACCCUAGUGGAACAUGAGAUCAGUCUAGAUCGGCGCAUCUUGCCACGAACUGCUCUGGCCUUUACUGGUUGGGGUUUCAGGGACUGGCUCGUUUACUUUGAGAAAAAUAGAGUGUUCAAAGCAGGCGUUUGCCUUGAAUAUGUUAGCAUGGAAUAAUAAUAUAGGACUUUGGUUUUAUUUUGUUGGUGUUUGAGAACCGAAGUAAUGAUUGAUAGGGACCGUUGGGGGCGAUCCGUAUUCUGAAGCGAGAGGUGAAAUUCUUAGACCUUUGGAAGACGAACAACUGCGAAAGCAUUUGCCAAGGAGGUUCUCUUUAAUCAAGAACGAAAGUUGGGGAUCGAAGACGAUUAGAUACCAU
RNAcentral lists this ribosomal RNA (432 nucleotides) under uncultured eukaryote. RNAcentral's name for it is "bacterial SSU rRNA". It matches the Rfam family "Eukaryotic small subunit ribosomal RNA", at positions 592 to 1018 of the family's 1831-position model. The record is from RNAcentral.